Molecule: long non-coding RNA, 9783 nt
Filed under: Panax ginseng (ginseng)
Lineage: Eukaryota; Viridiplantae; Streptophyta; Magnoliopsida; Apiales; Araliaceae
Description: long non-coding RNA (PGIN_LNC008641)
Source: RNAcentral
CCCAUCUCACUUCACUUUGUCGCGUUAUUUUGCCCUUUGUCUCUCUCUAAAUUUCGUAUCCCUCUCCAUACAACACACAAAUCUACAAUCGAUCGACCUAGCCCUCUUCUACAAGAUCCUUUUGGCGCACGAUUAAGGUUCAAUUCAGGUAAUAAUCCUAUGCAAUCGGUCAACCUAUCCCUUUUAGGUAACGAUUUCGAACAUGAUAUUUUCUUCAAUUUGUAAAUUAUACCUGCUGAAUUUUUUGUACGAGUAUAUGGUUGUAUGAAUCUGCCCUAACAGUUUCCUUCAUCUUGCCAAAUUAGCUCUCUACCUUGUUUGAAUCGUAGUUUUUUUUUCUCUUCAUCUGUCUUUAAUAGUAGAGAAUUUUGAACUUUGUUGUUCAUUAUUUUUAGGGCUUUUUAGAACUUUUUGAACAUUCAGUGUGGGGUAGGAUUUUGAAUUUUGUUCAAAGUGUUGUUGCCUUUAAUUUACUACUGUUUUUAAGGUAAAUAUCUUACUAAUGUGUACUUGUUUCUUUAAUUUACUGAGGGUUUAAAAAUUAUCUUAGUGUUGGUUUUGGCUUCUUAAAUAUUGCAAGCUAGGUGUUUGUUAAAAUAACUUAAAGAAUCAAAAAUCUAGCAUCUUGUCAUUUCUAUGUGCAUAUACUUUUUAGGAUGCAAGUAAGAAAAUCUGCUGUAAUGCCACAAAAUUAAUAAAUUUAUUAUGCUGACAGAUAAAAUGAUGAUGUUCAAUGUCCACUAUAAUUUGGGGCAAUUUUUUUUAACUAUUAGUCUGUAGGAAUAUCUUAAAAUUGAAAUUAUAGCUCCGCAAACUUGCUCCAUAUGAUUCUUGCACUCUAAAACGCUUUUGUAGAGGCCAUGGUGGUAUUUAAAGGCAAUGUAUAUUUGAGGAGCCAAGCCCACAACCUUCUUACAAUAUAAGCCCGGAUGGUCAUCCACAUGAUAGAGAAUAUUACCUCAUAUCCCUUUUUGUUGUUCCUAGGCAUUUUUAUUUGAUAUAGUGCAUGUUGACAGUUGUGAUAUGGUGCAUGUUGAUAGUUGUGAAUGUAUUAAAAUAAUUGACAAAGUUGGAUUGCCUGUUUGAUGCACUAGUAAAGUGUCUUGUCUGCUCUAUUCGAGGAAAUAAAAUCUUCAAUAUAUGUGAAAUAGUCAGAGACUCGGAACAAACAAGAAUCUCCCCUGCAUUUUAGCUGAUAACAGGACUUCUUUUCUUAAAUAGUUAGCUAGCCUUGUUUUCAAGGUCUAUGCGUCCCAUAAUCUUUAGUAUCGUUAUUAAUGUGUGCUUGUUUAUAAAAUUUUUCAACAUUAUAAUAUUGAAGCAAGCGAGCCUACUAAUCUGCAACUUUGACUUAUUGUUUAUACCAUACUCUGUUUUUUCCAAGUCAUUUUGUAAUGAACCAAAGACCGCUGGAAGGAUGUUUUAUGAUCUUGAGCUGUUGAAAAUUGUUCUUUCUGAAGAAGCUUGUUAAUAAUGUUGUUCUAUUGCUUACCUUUAUAAGUUUUGUGGUAUAUCUUUAAAUUAUCUGGUAAUUAGUCACCUUUUUUCAAGCAGAUUAUACCAUGAAUUUUUGAAAUCUUUUUGACAGAGUCGACCGAACCCCAUUGUCAGUUCGUCAUAGCCGCCUCAUUUAUAUUUCUGAUUUUGCUAUAGACAUUUUCAGUGUUAGUUCAACUUAUCUUAAGCAAUCCAAACUAUUCCCCAAUAAGUGUUUGAUUUCUAAUAUCCUAAUAUUUUGUUUCUGUUCAACUGAUUUUGUAGUAGCAGUUGAUAGAUACUUUGAAGGCCCAGUUUGUUGCUUACCAAGUACUUCAUAAGGAGUUAGCAGCGAAGUUGACCAAAUUGACAGAAUUAGUUGAGAAUCAACAGGUACAAAAAGGGCAAGUUAUUGAUGUUGAAGUUUAUGUUUUUAUUUCAAUUUUGUUCAUUAAAAAUUAUUAAUAACACAAAAAUUGGAUAAUAAACUUUAGUUUCCUCUCCAGCUUUUUAAUUAUUUUUUGAAAUUACUAUCCUUUUUUAUUUUCUUAGUCUUGAGGGUGAGUAUAGUUUUUUUUGGAACAAUGAAACUUGGCUUUAAGGCACUUCCUAGCAAUAUCAAGGCACUUUUAGCUGCACAUGAUGAUUCAUCAAGAAUUGACCAGUGGAGCAUUUCAGGCCUUCGGACACCAAAGUAUAAUAUUUCAACUCUAAAAAUGAAGCUUGCAGAAGAUGAUAACUUGGAUGUGAACUAUGCUGAUGAUAUAAUUUUAUUUAAUUGUUGAAAAUAAAAAUUUUAUUUUAAAUAAUAAUUUGUAUGUUAUUUGCAAUACAAAAUAUAAGACUUUUUUUGUUGAAUAGAUCACAAAUGCUAGAGUGACACUUCUUUGUUCUGCAAUUUGUUUAUUUAAAUUUGUUCUUAGUUAAUUUAUGACAUCCUAAAAUUCAAAUUAUAAUGUCAAUUUAUUUAUUGUUUUCAAAUAUUAAUUUUAUUUUUAAAAUACUUCUUAAAUAAUAUAAAUAUCAAUAUCAAUGUAAAAGGUUAAACGAUGUCGUGGGUUAACAGCGGUGUGAUACAAAUUGUUUUUUUCCUCUUUCUUAAAUAGUCCAAAUCUGUCGUUUGCUUUUUUGUUUCAGAUAGAAAGACAAGUUCAUUCUCUUUUUAUUCUUCAAUCGAUCCCACCGCCUAGCUUCGCUCGCCUCUCGUGUCCUCCAUCACAGGUUCAUGUCCCUUUUCUCUCUCCUCUAUCUCAUACAUCUAUCCUCUGAAAUUGAUUUUCAUUUUCUAGGAUAAUUUUUUUCUUUUGCUGCUCUCUUUCAAUUCAGUAAGACAUCUAAUAUCAGUUUAUUUAUUUGUAAUUUUUCACUUGGUUCAUCCAUUUGUGCUCAAUCAAAUCUGAUUUUGGUUAUAUGUGGUGAUUUUGGUGCUCAGUCAAUUUUAAUUUUGGAUAUAUGUGCACCAAAUGUUUGAUGUAUUGUCCAUCUGUUGCACUAGCUUGUACAUUAUAGCUACAAAUUUAAUGUCAGCAUAACCCUCCCAAUUUUAAAUUUAAGUAUAAACUUAAUCCAUUUCAUUUGGAUACUCUGAACCAUGUUUUGGAAUUGAUUUGUCUAAUGUGAACUUUUAUUUGUAAAACUCUAUAUGCCCAAACUUAAUUAUGAAGCAGACGUUUGGUUGACCAUAAAUUUGUAAUUGUUUCAGCUUUUUAAAUGUAAAUAUCUAAUUCUUUGUUAUUAUAUUAUUAAUUAUACAACUUUAACAUUCUUUAACAUUAUAUACACCCGGAGAACUUGAAUGGUGCAUAACAUGUACCUUUUUGUUUAAAUGCCAAAAAGAGGGUAGACACCUAUAUUUUAACAAACUAUGUUUUACUAAUUAAGCUUAAUCUCUAAUUGGAGUUGGGUCCAGUUUACAAUUUAUAAAGUCUUUCGAAAACAAAAGGUGAGGUGACUAAUGUUUUUUUAACAUUUAUAAUUGCAAGCUUCUUAAGUUAAUUAACAUAUGGAUUUUAAUUUUGGAAAGAGGAAUGAGUUUUUGGCAAUAUCCUGUUAGCAAAUUAAUGUGUAUUCAUGCUUUCCUCUUAAAUUUUUCUUUUUAAUUGUUGUUUACUAAUUGAAUUACUAUACAGAAUGAGUUGAGAUUUCAGUUGUUCUGGUCUCCCAUUCAUUGUCUCUCUGUCUCUUGUAAGUUGCGACGUAGAACCAUUUUGUUAGCUCUAUAAAGUUCGUAAGUGAUGUUUCUCAUUUUUCAGGUUGUUGGUUAUUAUAGACUGAGCAGCCUUAAUAGUUCUAUUUUGCUUAGUGUAUGCUCUUUUUUUUGCUACGAUUACGUCUUUAUUCUCAUGUCGAAGUGUACAUUGGAAUGAUGUCAAACACUUUGAUGAGUGAAUAUGCAUUACAUUCAACACAAGUACAUGCAUAAAGUAAAAUAUCCGGCAAUUUUAUUAUUAUGUAGAGAAUAUUUUUGUCAUGAUAGCAACUGCUAAAAUAGAGUAUGCAUGUGCUCUCAUCUCAUCAGCAUCGUAUCAAGCUUUUUUUAUUAUUUAUAAUUCUAGUGACUUUAUAGGUCAGUGUGACAUACCCAUAUUCAACUGUGCUACAACAUAAUCUCACGACUAUAAACACAUGAUGAGUUGAAACUAGAAUAGAAAAUAAUCAAUACCGGGAAAAAUUGUAUGGUUAGCUACAAUCCAAUUUCAGAUCAAAGCUGAUGUGAAUGUGUAUUUCUCUCAAUCAGAUAUAUUCCUUCCUCUCUGCAUUAUGGAACUCUGUUUAUCUCUAUUUUUCUCGAAUUAAUUACUAUUUUUCCCAUCUUUGCACUAGAAGGGAUCAACGAUCUGGUGGGUUGAUGGUUUUUUUUAAAGAUUGUGUAGAAAGUUCAUUAACCCUCUAUUCUAAUGUUUUUAAUUGAUUUGAUGGGUUACUCCCUGCUCAACUUAGCUUUGGGCUUUAUGUUUAUGCCGAGUAGAACGUCAAGUACUCUCAAUUUAUGUUCUUUAUCUUUUACAGAUCUUAUUCUCUACAUGCAUGUUGGGUCGUAGUUCUUUGCAGUUCAUUUAAUUGGAGUGUACCAAUAUUUUUAUUUUUGUAAACUGUGUAGAGGAUUCCUAGUUUGACUUAAACAUGUUUAAGCAUCAACUUUAGUUUAAGCCUUUAAUGUCAUAAUUCCCAACUUUCAAGUGUCUUUUUGCAAGUUACUCAACAUUAAAGCAAUUGAAGUGCACUUAAUUAUUCAUUUACUAUUUAAUUCAUGGUGUUACAGAUGGUUGUGAAAGGGAUUGCUAAAGACUUCACGAAUAAUGAAAAUAUCAACUUCGAGGAAAAUUGGCCCAAUAUACCCUCUCCGGUUUGAGUUUAAGGGUUUUGAUAUUUCAACUUUUUAUUCUAUAAAAUACUUUUUUAGUUUUGAGGUUUUGAGCACAUAAGUUUCUUGGGAUUGUGUUAUAGUACUCUUACUUGCUUACACUUGUUCACCAAUUACCGAAAAUAGAUAGCUGCAUGAUUUAGGAAUUAGACUAUUGAUAAUGAUUAUGCUGACUACGUCUGCUUCUAGAGAUUGAGAACGAGUGUCAAACAAAAGGAAAAAACUUGGAGAUGUUAAAGUUAUUUUGGAACUGCAUUAUUGAUAGUGAUUACACUGGCUACAUCUAAGUUCUGGUGAUAUACUAUGUUCGUUGCAGAACAAUUAGCAAUGCUCAUUACGCAACAAAAGACGCAACGACAGUGAAGUCGUUGCCAAAACCCUUUUGCAACGAAAUUUGGCACCUUUAGCAACAAAAAUUGGUUGUUGCUGAAGUCCCAUUUUUUUGUAGUGCAUUUACUCUAAGACCUCAUUCACGUGUAUUUCAAAAUGGCUAGCCUAUGUUCUUCAUUUUCUUCCAACUCCCAAGCUCAUGAUCAUGAGGGAGUGAUGAUUAUGAUGAGUUCCAACAAUCAAUCUAACAACUCCUCCAUAACCUUCAUGCAAUCCUACAAUCCAUGGGUUUGAUUCAAUGGAAAAUUUCUAUGUCUGUGUAUUGAUUUUUCUAUAAAUAAGAGCUCCUUCCAUUUUUCCAAGUGUUGAGAAUUGCUAAGUGAGAGUUGAGAGCAUACAAGUAAUCUAGAGCUUGAGAGUUCAUUAGGAGCAAGUUCAUUGUAAUUAUAAAGGUAUAAAAUUCCUUCUUAUUCUUCAUUUUCAGUUUCUGUUAAAUUUCCAUUCUUGAAAUUCAAAUUCUUGAUUUUGUGGAAUUGGUUGCUAAUGAGGUUGGGUAAUGUCCAUAUAGUUGUUAUAUGACCAUAUAAGCAUGAUGCAACUGAUAUAUGAUGGUUUAAAAUCGAAAUCAUGAGUAAUUUUUGAGGUUGGGCUGGAGUUCUGCCGAAGCAGACUGCUUCUGCGCCUGAAUCAGGCAUGACGCAGCUACGCCACAUUUGUAUUGAGGCGCAUCGCAACUGCGCCGGUUGCUGAAUUCAGUUGAGCAGUCAAUUUUCAAAUCUGAUCAAUAUUGGCUAGUUGUUUUGACUCAAGCUAGCAUGUAAGCAUGUGUAUGAUGUAUAUAUGGAUACGUUAACCUAAUGUGAGCAUGUUUAGACUAGACUUGCAUGAUUAACGAAGGCGUAUGAUUUACAUGGAGAUUUAGACUAAGUUUUGAAAACAAACUAUGUUAAAUAUCAUGUUCUACAAAUUGUGAACCUAGUAAGCUAUGCAUGACUAAUUUUGCACAUAGAUGAGUAUGUUGUAGUGUAUAUAGUUCUUUUGAGCAUGUUCAAACUUACUAAGCCUUAUGUUAGAAAUAUUUUCAAUAAGAAGCUUAGCCUAGUGAGCUAACAUGCAUGAUUUUUAAAUGGUUUAUAUUUUGACUUUGAAAGCAUGUGAGUAUGACUUGGAAAUGCAUGAAUAAACCUUUAGCUUAUUUUUAUUUGAUUAGUAAGGAAACAUGAGCAUGUUGAACCUAUUAGCAAAGCUUUGAAUGUGAAUAUUGUCAAGAUACCAUGAGGACUAAAAUCUGACAUUUGUGAUCAUGUUUGAUGACACUCUUAGACUCGCUCAUGUAGCAUAACCAUAUAUAUACCAUGUUUGUGUAGCACAUUUCAAGAAAAGCAUGAACGAAGCCUAUUUUCAACUAAAGCGGUGUUAGUUUCAUGUAUGUGUUAUAAAUACACACAAGCAUGCCUAAUAUGAGUUUUUUUUAAAUAUCUUGUAUGUUUAGAAAGCAAGCAUGCUAGACCUUGUGAAUUCAUGACUUUGAAUGGCCUUAAAUUGUUAAAAUGAGCAACUUAGAACCAUGUUAUGAAAGAAGGAACCUAGAUUGACUUAAGGAGCAUGAAAAGACCUUUAACAUGAUAAAUAUAUUAUGUGUUAUUGUUUUGGUUGAGCUGGAGAGAAACCACAAGGCAGCAGCUGAGUCUUGGAAUGACCAUAGGACGACGCAGCUGCGCCGGUCCUAGGCUUAGCCAUGGCGCAACUGCGCCAGUCUGGAAUCCCAGAUAGUGAAUUCUGACUUUUGGACAGCAACUUUCAUGAUGCCUAUGAUGCUAAAUGUGAUCUAAAACCUACUGAUGUAUAUAUAUAUGAGUGAUGCCUAGUUGAUAAUUCGGUGUUGCAUUGAAAUGAAAAGUCCAUGAGUAGGAGGUCUUAACCUUGAGCAUUCUUGAUUUGCUUGUGAAGUAACUAAGUAGUUGAUUCAUGAUGACUUAUAAACUGAUUUUGUACCAUAUGUGCAUACUUGUAUCGUGUCGAGCUUGAUUAAGGACGAUGUUAGCUAAUGAACACUGUAUAUUUAUAAUACGUUAUACUAGGAUUCUAAAGUGUUGAUUUAUUAACGUGGAUAAACUACGCUUAAGGCAAGUUUCUCUAACAUUACUCAAAUUUAUAUUGAGCAAGUAUCCGAACCUUACUCUUAUUGUGCAAGUAUAAUUACAUUCUUUAUUCGACAAAUACCGUAAGCUUAUCCCUUUGAAUACAAGUUAUAUUACUUUCUCGUUCAAAUGAGCUAGUAUUUUAAACCCUUAUGAAAGCUGUUAUUCAUGUUGAACUUGGUAUUGUCCAUUGAAUAUUGUGAAAGAGUCGAUGUCAUUUGAUUCGGCUAGACUAUAUGCAUGUUUAUAAAAAAAAACUGUCCAAACCAAUUAAGUGGUGCGAAAAUCUUGAAAACUAAGUUGAACAACCCCUUUGGUAAAGGGAGUGUAUGUCGUUGGAAACCCCAACACAUGAAUGAAUAUUAUUGUGGUGUUAUGCAUAACGUAUAGUAUUGUAGAUUGAUCAUCUAUAGUACUUGAUAUUUUAAGGUUAUCAGUUUAAUAUUGGUAACUCUAGUGGAAGUUCAAUAGUCCUUAGUGACUGCUCAGUAUAAAUUGUUAUCCAGUUGGAUACCUUGAUAGUCGUUGAAUUCAUAUAUAUUUGUUGAUUUAUAUUGAAUUAUCGUUCUUAUUCAAAGAAUUGUUGAUAUUUCUUACCCAUGAUGUUAUUCUGAUACUUUGAACUAUCCUAGAAAUGGCACUCCGAUAUUUCAAACCUUAUGAUAUUAUAUCCUAUACCCUUGUUGUAUAUUACUUGUUGGACAAUUUGUGCUCAUCCUUGCUUUUAAAAAAACCUUUCAGUUAAGGCAGAACAGGGAAGUGUAUCCGGGCAGGACAAGGGCAAGGGCAAGGCUACCGACUAGCUUGUCCUUUUUAUGUUCAAAGUCUAUUAUGUUGUAUUAAGACUAUUUCAGACUAUGUUUAAGCUUAAGUAGGAUCAUGUAAUAAGUCUUUAUUAGAUAUUAUUAUGUAAUCUAUUAAGCACUGUAGGUUACGAGACUUGGGGGAAUAAUUAUAAUAAAUUAUUGUAUAUUAUUUUAAAGUAGAUUUUUCGUUGUGUAUGCGUUAUUUUAGAUAUUGUGGUUUUACCAUGAGAACGUGAUGAACCGAAUUUGAGGGACCAAGUGGAGGUCCGAAUUUGGGGGUGUCACAGGUUGGUAUCAAAGCUAUAGUUAUAAACUUUAGGAACGAGAGUCCUUAGAUUAUAACUUAAGAAAACUUAGAGGUUAGGAAGGGAUAAAAAUCACGUAGAGUUUUCCCAAAGAGACUUAACGUGUUAUGAAAUGUAACUUCAUUCUAUACAAUGAACUUAUGUUUAUUUAACAUUCUGAUGGAGUUGUUUUUUGUCUUGUCUUAUGUUGGUGAUUGUAGGAUGACUGACAUUGGAGGACCUAGUCGAGUAGUUGAGGAGGAACCGCGUGAUAUCCACGUAGUCUAUGAGACACUCGUGAUAGCGGAGCCUAUAUCGGUAGUUGUCCCUAUUAGUGAUGAUGAUGAGGAGGAGGAGAUGGUACCUCUACCUGAGGAGUCUAAUCCGGAGAAGGAGCCUAUGGAGGAGGAACCCGUGGAGGAACCCGAGCCCAUGGAGGACUCCGACGAGACUACUUUUGAGGAUUGGAUGUUGGGAGUAUGAAGAAUAGAUUUUGGAAUUAGGAUGUAGAGUCGAAGAGCUGGUGUGACGCCCCCAAAUCCGGGUACUUGAAACCCGAACUCGGUGCUUCACGAUACCAUUUCUAUAAGCUGAAUAAUACUAAUAAUAAUAACAAUAAUAUAAAAUUCAAACUUAAUUUACAUAUGCAUCAAAGUUUACUCCCAGGUACGAGACCUUUAAACAUUCAUUACAUCAUAGAUAAUAAGUAUCAUUUUCUUAAUAAACUAUAACUAUUACACAACAUUAUAUAAAUCUCAUUCGAACAACUUUCAUUUCCCCUUGUUCUUGCCUGAACCUUCUGGUUGAUCAUACUUAACUGAAAACAUUUAAAUUUAAAGCAAGAAUGAGCAUUGGAUUGCCCAGCAAGUAAUAACAACAAUAUAUAUUAGCUGAAAGAAUUAAAUAUUUUUUUUGAAAGACACUUCUACAACGAAUCAACAGUUGUGAAGUAAGCUGAACCAAUAAUAACAACAUAUCACUUCCACAUGUAAUCUUUGAAACUACGUAUAAACUAUAAUUGGAGAUCAGUCGACAGACUAUGAACAUUGUUUUUUUUUUAUUUUAGCUAGGGUUUAGCAGAACUUCAUCCGUAAACCGUCAUAACUUACGGACACGAGGGUGAUCUGCCCAAUGUGCCAUGUAUUGAUCAAUACUACAUGCAAGAACGAUAUCAUCGUUCACUCUAUCCACCUUAGGUGCACAAAAAUUUUUCCAUAUUCGGGAUGUUCAUACUUAGUUGGGAAUCCGAACCAAAAUAAUCUGGUUGGAUACAAUAACGUUCUAUCUUGUUCAACAAUAUUUUUAUGUCUAGCUGAAUCAAAUAGCUUAGACGGCUUUUAAGUCAACGUAUACAUACUUGAAAUCAAUAAGUAUGUAUCAAC